AACGAACGCUGGCGGCAGGCUUAACACAUGCAAGACGAGCGCAUCCUUCGGGGUGAGCGGCAGACGGGUGAGUAACGCGUGGGAACGUACCCUUUCCUACGGAAUAGCUCCGGGAAACUGGAAUUAAUACCGUAUACGCCCUUAGGGGGAAAGAUUUAUCGGGGAAGGAUCGGCCCGCGUUGGAUUAGCUAGUUGGUGGGGUAAAGGCCUACCAAGGCGACGAUCCAUAGCUGGUCUGAGAGGAUGAUCAGCCACAUUGGGACUGAGACACGGCCCAAACUCCUACGGGAGGCAGCAGUGGGAAUAUUGGACAAUGGGCGCAAGCCUGAUCCAGCCAUGCCGCGUGAGUGAUGAAGGCCUUAGGGUUGUAAAGCUCUUUCAGUAGGAAAGAUAAUGACGGUACCUACAGAAGAAGCCCCGGCUAACUUCGUGCCAGCCGCCGCCGUAA
This 448-nucleotide ribosomal RNA is filed under the name uncultured bacterium. RNAcentral's name for it is "partial 16S ribosomal RNA". It matches the Rfam family "Bacterial small subunit ribosomal RNA", at positions 29 to 523 of the family's 1533-position model. The record is from RNAcentral.